CCUUCGGUAGCUCAGUUGGUAGAGCGGUGGACUGUAGUGGUUGAACAAUCUCAGAUAUCCAUAGGCCGCUGGUUCAAAUCCGGCCCGAAGGA
This 92-nucleotide transfer RNA is filed under the name Acyrthosiphon pisum (pea aphid). It matches the Rfam family "tRNA". Rfam says of the family: Transfer RNA (tRNA) molecules are approximately 80 nucleotides in length. Lineage: Eukaryota; Metazoa; Arthropoda; Insecta; Hemiptera; Aphididae. The record is from Rfam by way of RNAcentral.